RNAcentral lists this ribosomal RNA (433 nucleotides) under uncultured bacterium. RNAcentral describes it as "partial 16S ribosomal RNA". It matches the Rfam family "Bacterial small subunit ribosomal RNA", at positions 29 to 507 of the family's 1533-position model. The record is from RNAcentral.
AGCGAACGCUGGCGGCAGGCUUAACACAUGCAAGUCGAGCGGACCUUUCGGGGUCAGCGGCGGACGGGUGAGUAACGCGUGGGAACGUGCCUUCCGGUUCGGAAUAACCCUGGGAAACUAGGGCUAAUACCGGAUACGCCCUUAUGGGGAAAGGUUUACUGCCGGAAGAUCGGCCCGCGUCUGAUUAGCUAGUUGGUGGGGUAACGGCCUACCAAGGCGACGAUCAGUAGCUGGUCUGAGAGGAUGAUCAGCCACACUGGGACUGAGACACGGCCCAGACUCCUACGGGAGGCAGCAGUGGGGAAUAUUGGACAAUGGGCGCAAGCCUGAUCCAGCCAUGCCGCGUGAGUGAUGAAGGCCUUAGGGUUGUAAAGCCCUUUUAUCCGGGACGAUAAUGACGGUACCGGAGGAAUAAGCCCCGGCUAACUUCGUG